AAUGAACGCUGGCGGCGUGCCUAACACAUGCAAGUCGAACGAGAACGGGCUUCGGCCUUAGUACAGUGACGAACGGGUGAGUAACGCGUGGGAAUCUACCCCUUUGUGAGGAAUACCUUCGAGAAAUCGAAGUUAAUACUGCAUAAGCUCCUUCGGGAGGAAAGGUGGCCUAAUUAGCUGCCGCAGAGGGAUGAGCCUGCGUACCAUUAGCUAGUUGGUAGGGUAAUGGCCUACCAAGGCGAGGAUGGUUAGCCGGCCUGAGAGGGUGAUCGGCCACAUUGGGACUGAGACACGGCCCAGACUCCUACGGGAGGCAGCAGUGGGGAAUAUUGCACAAUGGGGGAAACCCUGAUGCAGCAACGCCGCGUGAGUGAUGACGGCCUUCGGGUUGUAAAGCUCUGUCUUCAGGGACGAUAAUGACGGUACCUGAGGAGGAAGCCACGGCUAACUACGUGCCAGCAGCCGCCGCGG
RNAcentral lists this ribosomal RNA (471 nucleotides) under uncultured bacterium. Its description in RNAcentral is "partial 16S ribosomal RNA". It matches the Rfam family "Bacterial small subunit ribosomal RNA", at positions 29 to 523 of the family's 1533-position model. The record is from RNAcentral.